GAAAGCACCGGCUAACUCCGUGCCAGCAGCCGCGGUAAUACGGAGGGUGCGAGCGUUAAUCGGAAUUACUGGCGUAAAGACGCAUGCAGGUGGUUUGUUAAGUCAGAUGUGAAAGACCCGGGGCGUCAACCUCGGAAUUGCAUUUGAAACUAGGCAAACUAGAGUACUGUAGAGGGGGGUAGGAAUUUCAGGUGUAGCGGUGAAAUGCGUAGAGAUCUGAAGGAAUACCGGUGGCGAAGGCGGCCCCCUCGGACAGAUACUGACACUCAGAUGCGAAAGCGUGGGGAGCAAACAGGAUUAGAUACCCUGGUAG
RNAcentral lists this ribosomal RNA (313 nucleotides) under uncultured bacterium. Its description in RNAcentral is "bacterial SSU rRNA". It matches the Rfam family "Bacterial small subunit ribosomal RNA", at positions 486 to 793 of the family's 1533-position model. The record is from RNAcentral.